Molecule: ribosomal RNA, 451 nt
Filed under: uncultured bacterium
Lineage: Bacteria
Description: bacterial SSU rRNA
Rfam family: Bacterial small subunit ribosomal RNA
Source: RNAcentral
GUGAGGAAUUUUUCGCAAUGGACGAAAGUCUGACGAAGCGACGCCGCGUGGGUGAAGAAGGUUUUCGGAUCGUAAAGCCCUGUCAGGGGGAAAGAACCCCUGCCGUGUGAAUAAUGCGGCAGGCUGACGGUACCCCCAAAGGAAGCUCCGGCCAACUACGUGCCAGCAGCCGCGGUAAUACGUAGGGAGCAAGCGUUAUCCGGAAUCACUGGGCGUAAAGAGCUCGUAGGCUGUCGAGUAAGUCGAAUGUUAAAUACCCCGGCUCAACCGGGGGCCUGCGUUCGAUACUGCACGACUAGAGGACGGGAGAGGUAAGCGGAAUUCAUGGUGUAGCGGUGAAAUGCAUAGAUAUCAUGAAGAACACCAGUGGCGAAGGCGGCUUACUGGACCGUUCCUGACGCUGAGGAGCGAAAGCCAGGGGAGCAAACGGGAUUAGAAACCCGAGUAGUCC